RNAcentral lists this ribosomal RNA (274 nucleotides) under uncultured bacterium. RNAcentral's name for it is "partial 16S ribosomal RNA". It matches the Rfam family "Bacterial small subunit ribosomal RNA", at positions 523 to 796 of the family's 1533-position model. The record is from RNAcentral.
CUACGGAGGGUGCAAGCGUUAAUCGGAAUUACUGGGCGUAAAGCGCGCGUAGGCGGUUCGGUAAGUUGGAUGUGAAAGCCCAGGGCUCAACCUUGGAACUGCAUUCAAAACUGCCAGGCUAGAGUACGGUAGAGGGGGGUAGAAUUCCACGUGUAGCGGUGAAAUGCGUAGAGAUGUUGAGGAAUACCAGUGGCGAAGGCGGCCCCCUGGAUCGAUUCUGACGCUGAGGUGCGAAAGCGUGGGGAGCAAACAGGAUUAGAAACCCUAGUAGUCC